GAAUGAUGAUGAUCAUUCCAUCGAAUGUUUCAUGUUAUGGCAGACUUCAUCUAGUUUGCUGGGUGUUUUAUCGUUUGGUGUGGUGAUUAUACCGUACUCUACUAUUUCUUUAUGCCAUUUUACUAUUUAUUACAGAAUACUUGUAUAAGGAUCAUUGCUACCAUGUAUUUUCUACUAUACCUUCCGUUACAAGUAAUAUAUGGAUACUCGUUUGGUUCUUUAUUUUAAGCUGCUUAAUUUGGCACAAACCAUCAAUCUGAAGGCAAAUUGAACGUACUAAUUAAUGUCAACAUAGAUGACUUUUCCUUAGUCAAAUCGAAGAUAAUUCGAGCCUUAAUUAAAUAAUUAAGCUGAUAUCUAAUUAUAAUUCGAGUGAAAGCUCUGUAGAAGAGUUGAUGAAUAGAAGCACUCUUCCUAUAAUGAGAUCUUAGAUUUUAAAUUGGAAGAAAAGAGAAAAAUGUCACCAAAUGUGUGAUUUGAGAUUUUGAAUAAUGGAAAGAAAAAAAUCAAAGCAAUUCCUAGAAUCGUGAUGUGAGAUUUCUAACUCACAAAACUACAAUAUCACAAAGGCUUUCACAUCAUCUUUGUCGAAUCCAGGGGCCCCAGCUCCCUUGAUGGCAUGCCUGAUUUUCAGUUUGGAACUACACCAGAUGGUCUCCCUCUGAUUGAUAAGAGGCCAUGUUUCUUGCUUUCAUCCAGCAUGCAUGUCUGCAUAUUCCUAGUUAUUUUUUUGUUUCUCCUUCAAGCAUUGAGAACAAACCCCUGUUCCUAGGAUUCUUUUUUAUUUAUUUAUUUAUUUUUGAGCAUUUUUGUUUCAUUCUGAGCAUGAACUUCAUAGAUCUGACGUCCUAUUCUUGCUUGCUCUAACCAGUUCUCUCUUUCAUUUGUCCUUUUUCUGUUCAUUUGUUUUUGCUCGUAUCUUUCAUAAAAUAGCUGACGUUGGCCAACUUGAUGUUUUUGAAAUUCAUGGCUAUCAUCUGAGAAAUAAAACUCCAGUUUUGGGCCUCAAUGCCACAACAAAUUUCGUCUUAAUAAAUAAUGAAUUCAGGACUGCUGCUAACCAGUGGGUAGAGAAGAAUAUAGUUUGAUGAGAGGUGGUCUAAAUAAUCGAACCAUAAUUACGCGAAGUGAUUUCUUCCUGAUGUUGUUUCCUACAGGAAUCAGUCAAUUGUUCAUUCGUAAACCUCCUCAGUUACCCUUGGGUAGAAGAAAAAGUGAGGAGUGGAGAACUCAAUAUUCAUGGUGGCUAUUACAACUUCGUUGACUGUUCAUUUGAGAAAUGGACACUGUACAAGGAAAACAAUAUGAAGGACAGAAGUGGGAAAGUUGCAGUAAAAGACAGAGCAUUGGUUCUGAAACUGUGCUGCUGAUUUAUCUUUAUAAUUUGUUGUUGCUGUUGUUGUCAUCGUUGUCGUCAAGUCUUCUUGUAUUUUGUGCUUUGUUUAUACAUGCAUGCAUGUGAAGACAGUCAGAAAAAUAACGUUAUUCCCUCGAACUCCUGGGAUUAACUACCAAGUAAUAUAAGUGCUGUUGUAAUUAUAGUCACAUUUGAUGUCAUAAUCUGUAAUAUGUUGUAUGACACUGCAUUUCAUAGUUGAUAAAGCAGAUUGUUUAUUAAUUUGGCAUAAGAGCUUUCAAGUUCCAGAUUCUGAUGGAUGAUAUUUAUGUUUUCUGCACGUCUGAUGGCAUGGAUAAUAAGUAAGAGAUGGUUAAGCUGAUUAGUUUGACUUUUAGUUCAUCCCUGUGGAUGUAAACUUACUGUCAAAGUUACUCGUUUCUCGAAAGCAAUAUGCAGAGUAGACUUCUGCAGAGGUACAUCUAGCAGUAGUCUGCCGGGAUUCGGAUGGACUCCGAGAUGAAGUUACAUGGAGCUUACCAUGUUUCACUAGCCACACAUGUGAGUAAAUUUUCGAGUCCAAAUCAUGAAGCAAUUGUGAUAAUAGAACAUGCAGAAGACAUGCAUUUAAUGCAUGAUAUGGUUACAAUGAACACAUAAAUUUGGCAAAAUCCCAAAUAACCCAUCCUAAAAACGGCCCUUGAUUUCAAUUCCCAUGAAUGAUUGAUGAAUUUGGUUUGAUGAGCCCCCUAAUGCAGAUGCAUAGUUGUUAAAUAAAGUGACUUCAUUUUAAUAAAAAUAAUUAACCUGAGUUAACUCGGUGAUUUAUGAAUUGUCCCGGUAACCCGAACCCUUUUUUUGAAUCAAUCUCUAGCAGGUUCUGGGGUAAAAUGGAAAUGCCAGCUCUUUCCUAUAUAUUUUUUUUUUAUAUAUAUUUCUUCCAAAAGGUGUCUUUGGAACCUGAUUAUGUUGUUGAAGUGUAAGUAAGCAUAUAACUGGUGAGAAGUUGAACUGCCAACAUACAAAAUGUCCUGCCAACUCGCCCUCCAAAACCUCCAUAUUCUCCACCUCCCACAUCUAUAAAAACCCAAUGGUUUUCUCACGGAAAAGCACACUUCACACCACUUGUGAUUUGCUAAAGCCUAAAACUCUCCCUUCCCUUGAAGCCAUUGCCAUUGCCAUCGCCACAACCAUGGCCAAUCAUAUCUUCCCACUCUUCAUUUCACCACUUAUAGUGAUCACGAGCAUGUCAUUGCUAAUCAGCCAGACAAUUCCGGUGGAGGCACGCCAACUCUUGGAGGUAACAGUGCCUGAGCUUCCGAAGCCUGCCGUUCCCGAGCUUCCCAAGCCGGAGUUGCCUAAGCUGCCCGAAUUCCCAGUACCUGAACUGCCAAAAUUUGAAAUACCAAAACUGCCUGAGCUUCCGAAGCCUGAAUUUCCCGAGCUUCCCAAGCCGGAGUUGCCUAAGCUUCCCGAACUGCCAAAAUUUGAAAUACCAAAACUGCCUGAAUUUCCACCUUUUCCCCAUUUUCCUGAUCUAACUAAGCCCACACUGCCAAGUACUAUUCCCUCCCACUCAACUACUAGCCCUUGAAUGAUGAUGAUCAUACCAUCUAAUGUUUCAUGUUAUGGCAGUCUUCAUCUAGUUUGCUGGGUCUAUUAUCGUUUGGUGUGGUGAUUAUACCGUACUCUACUGUUUCUUAAUGCCAUUUUUACUAUUUAUUACAGAAUACCUGUAUAAGGGUCAUUAAUACUACCAUGUAUUUUCUACUAUACCUUCCGUUACAAGUAAUAUAUAUGGAUACUCGUUUGGUUCUUUAUUUUAAGCUGCU
RNAcentral lists this long non-coding RNA (3168 nucleotides) under Populus tremula. RNAcentral's name for it is "long non-coding RNA (PTRE_LNC002653)". Lineage: Eukaryota; Viridiplantae; Streptophyta; Magnoliopsida; Malpighiales; Salicaceae. The record is from RNAcentral.